GCUGGCGGCGUGCCUAAUACAUGCAAGUCGAACGCUUCUUUCCUCCCGAGUGCUUGCACUCAAUUGGAAAGAGGAGUGGCGGACGGGUGAGUAACACGUGGGUAACCUACCCAUCAGAAGGGGAUAACACUUGGAAACAGGUGCUAAUACCGUAUAACAAUCAAAACCGCAUGGUUUUGAUUUGAAAGGCGCUUUCGGGUGUCGCUGAUGGAUGGACCCGCGGUGCAUUAGCUAGUUGGUGAGGUAACGGCUCACCAAGGCCACGAUGCAUAGCCGACCUGAGAGGGUGAUCGGCCACAUUGGGACUGAGACACGGCCCAAACUCCUACGGGAGGCAGCAGUAGGGAAUCUUCGGCAAUGGACGAAAGUCUGACCGAGCAACGCCGCGUGAGUGAAGAAGGUUUUCGGAUCGUAAAACUCUGUUGUUAGAGAAGAACAAGGAUGAGAGUAACUGUUCAUCCCUUGACGGUAUCUAACCAGAAAGCCACGGCUAACUACGUGCCAGCAGCCGCGGUAAUACGUAGGUGGCAAGCGUUGUCCGGAUUUAUUGGGCGUAAAGCGAGCGCAGGCGGUUUCUUAAGUCUGAUGUGAAAGCCCCCGGCUCAACCGGGGAGGGUCAUUGGAAACUGGGAGACUUGAGUGCAGAAGAGGAGAGUGGAAUUCCAUGUGUAGCGGUGAAAUGCGUAGAUAUAUGGAGGAACACCAGUGGCGAAGGCGGCUCUCUGGUCUGUAACUGACGCUGAGGCUCGAAAGCGUGGGGAGCAAACAGG
Molecule: ribosomal RNA, 770 nt
Filed under: uncultured Bacilli bacterium
Lineage: Bacteria; Bacillati; Bacillota; Bacilli
Description: bacterial SSU rRNA
Rfam family: Bacterial small subunit ribosomal RNA
Source: RNAcentral